Molecule: transfer RNA, 72 nt
Organism: Camelus ferus (Wild Bactrian camel)
Lineage: Eukaryota; Metazoa; Chordata; Mammalia; Artiodactyla; Camelidae
Rfam family: tRNA
About the family: Transfer RNA (tRNA) molecules are approximately 80 nucleotides in length.
Source: Rfam
GCGGGUAUAGCUUAGUGGUAGAGCAUCGGCUUGGCACGCAUGAGGUCUUGGGUUCAAUCCCCAGUGUCUCCA